GACAUGUUAUUUCUAUGUAAAUGUCCUGGAAUCGAUUAAUUUUGGUGUUUGCCCGAGCAUGAUAACGUAUUGUUGACAUCAUAAUAAGCAUUUCAAAUUGAUCUCAAUCACGUCAUAAUAAACAUAUCAAACAGAGUUCUUGCAACAGAAACAAAAUGAAGCCAUCCCAUUAAUAGCUCUAUUUUGUUUCCGCUUCAAGAACAUUAUACGGCGUAUAAUAUUUGCAAAAAUCCAAAUGUUCCUUUCGGUCUAGCAGUCUGUGCAGCAGGAGCCGCAGCGUUCUGUUAUUCCAAAACUAUAUCGAGAGUUUGUAAUAGCAGGACGCGGCGGAUCAGCAGAACGCUGUGGCUACAAAACUACAUCGAGUACCCGCUGCGGCUCAGUGCCGAGGUGAUGGUCAAAGAGAAAAGACCAUAGAAGAAAUACCCACCGUCAGUACAAGACAUCGCCGAAGAUUAUUCCGUUUGCAGCCGUUCUUUUGCAAGCGGAGAGGUAUUUACAAUGACGACACACCCUUAUAAAUCAUCCUUGCACUACUUAUGUCGUACAUUGAUGAUUUAUGAAGGUGUGUUGCUGACUCUGCUAAAACGACAACAAACAACUCGCACGGGACCGCCUAUGAAAAUAAAAAAAAACAUCCAGCUUUGAGAUAUCGCAUGACCGGAUCGUUCUCGGUUUUCAUAGUGGCGACACGAAAUGGAUUUAGAGGUCCUAAGGCCAAUUUUCAGGGGUUCAACAUCCUCAAAGUGUUGUUUGUUACAUCAGAUGAAUUGGUUUGCUGCAACGACUUCAGCUUCGAGACGAGUCGGAAAAGGAAAAGAAAAAAACACACGACAUGUACGGGCCCGCCUAUGAAAAUAGAAAAGCUUCCGGUUUUUUGACAUCGCAAUACCGGAGUCUUUUCUGUGUCCAUAUUCGUGACCAGAAUCAAUUGAGAGAUUUGGAGUUCGACAUCCUACAAAGUGCUGCUUGUUACAUCAGGUGGUUUGUUUGCUGCAACGGAUUCAGCGACGAGACGAGUCCAUGCCCGCUAGAUGAUUCACAAUUGAGCUAUGAACUGGCCGGUGUUAAGAUCAGCUUUACCCCUGCUAAUUUGUAGCUCAGUUUAUAGUUGGACUGCUAGUAUUAGGCGUGGUAUCGGCAUAACCUUACUGGCAAUCCUUUGCCUGCUCUUCGGACUGUGAUUCUUUUUUUUUUUUUUUUAAUCAUAGUCCGAAGAGUAAGCAAAGACCGCCAAUAUUGUAAGCUUAAUAUAAUGAGUUUUUCCUGUUUACUUUCCUUACCCGCAAAAUACGGAAACAUCGUAAAUCGUAUAUAUUUGUUUGUUUAGUGAAUAAUGAUAGGAUGAGUAUAUAACUCGAGGUUAUAUGUAAUUAUGUAUUUAACUUAUAGAAACGCUUAGGUAACCAGGCAUCGAGCAUUCAGCAAAGAUUUAAGACGGCAAGAAAUAUGCAAAAGACAUCGUCAGAAAUUUGAAUGUAUGCAUAUGUAGCUUUGUUAAGUUCGAGUUCAAAGAUAUAGUUAUUUAUAAACGUCAUCGAUAGCGACACAA
This is a long non-coding RNA of Nematostella vectensis (starlet sea anemone), 1552 nucleotides long. RefSeq lists it as uncharacterized. The record is from RefSeq and is a predicted model, not a curated record. The transcript has 3 exons. Lineage: Eukaryota; Metazoa; Cnidaria; Anthozoa; Actiniaria; Edwardsiidae.